Molecule: ribosomal RNA, 253 nt
Filed under: uncultured bacterium
Lineage: Bacteria
Description: partial 16S ribosomal RNA
Rfam family: Bacterial small subunit ribosomal RNA
Source: RNAcentral
UACAGAGGUCUCAAGCGUUGUCCGGAAUUACUGGGCGUAAAGGGUGCGCAGGCCGCGCGGGCAGUCAAAUGUGUAAUCCAGGGGCUCAACCCCUGAACUGCGCUUGAUACUUCCGCGCUCGAGCUUUGGAGAGGAGUCUGGAAUUCUCGGUGUAGCAGUGAAAUGCGUGGAUAUCGAGAAGAACACUUAGGGCGUAGGCAAGACUCUGGACAAAUGCUGACGCUCAUGCACGAAGGCUAGGGUAGCGAACGGG